UACUAGCCGGGGAGCCAGCGGUGCCCUGUACCCGCAAUCCGCUGCAGCGGGGGCGAACGCCCCGCGAGGGCGGCCGUAAUGCGGCAGCCGGCAUGCAGCUCCGUUGAAGAGCGGGUCCCGCGCAAUCAGACGCCGUGAACCAUGUCAGGUGGGGAACCAAGCAGCAUUAAGCGGAGGUUCUGAUGUGUUGCGGGCUUGCCUGCUCCGAGGCAGCAAGUGCCAAAGCGCGCAUGAAGGCUUGUUCGAA
RNAcentral lists this signal recognition particle RNA (247 nucleotides) under human gut metagenome. Its description in RNAcentral is "Bacterial large signal recognition particle RNA". It matches the Rfam family "Bacterial large signal recognition particle RNA". Rfam says of the family: The signal recognition particle (SRP) is a universally conserved ribonucleoprotein involved in the co-translational targeting of proteins to membranes. Archaeal SRP consists of a 7S RNA and homologues of the eukaryotic SRP19 and SRP54 proteins. The record is from RNAcentral.